CUUGGUGCCUAUGGCGUAAUGGACACACCUGUUCCCAUCCCGAACACAGAAGUUAAGCAUUACUGCGGCUACGAUAGCUUAAUUGCAAAAAUAGCACGGUGCCAGGG
Molecule: non-coding RNA, 107 nt
Organism: Biomphalaria glabrata
Lineage: Eukaryota; Metazoa; Mollusca; Gastropoda; Planorbidae
Source: Rfam